This 1384-nucleotide ribosomal RNA is filed under the name uncultured organism. Its description in RNAcentral is "bacterial SSU rRNA". It matches the Rfam family "Bacterial small subunit ribosomal RNA". The record is from RNAcentral.
AUGCAAGUCGAGGGGUAAGAUCCGCUUCGGUGGAUACACGACCGGCGAAUGGGUGAGUAACACGUAUGCAAUUUACCUUUAACUGGAGGAUAGCUACGGGAAACCGUAAUUAAUACUCCAUAAUAUUCCGAAAUCGCAUGUUUUUGGAAUUAAAGUUUCGGCGGUUAAAGAUGAGCAUGCGGGGCAUUAGUUAGUUGGUAGGGUAACGGCCUACCAAGACAACGAUGCCUAGGGGGUCUGAGAGGAUGAUCCCCCACACUGGCACUGAGACACGGGCCAGACUCCUACGGGAGGCAGCAGUGAGGAAUAUUGGGCAAUGGGCGAAAGCUUGACCCAGCCAUGCCGCGUGCAGGAUGACUGUCCUAUGGAUCGUAAACUGCUUUUAUACGAGAAGAAUUUCCCCGAUUCUUCGGGGGUUGACGGUAUCGUAUGAAUAAGGGUCGGCUAACUCCGUGCCAGCAGCCGCGGUAAUACGGAGGACCCAAGCGUUAUCCGGAUUUACUGGGUUUAAAGGGUGCGCAGGCGGAAUAGUAAGUCGAUGGUGAAAGCCUACAGCUUAACUGUAGAAUUGCCAUUGAUACUGCUAUUCUUGGGUGCAGUCGAAGCGAGUGGAAUGUGUAGUGUAGCGGUGAAAUGCAUAGAUAUUACACAGAACACCGAUAGCGAAAGCAGCUCGCUAGGCUGUUACUGACGCUGAGGCACGAAAGCGUGGGGAGCGAACAGGAUUAGAUACCCUGGUAGUCCACGCUGUAAACGAUGAUCACUAGUUGUGGCGAUGCAUUGUCAGUGACUGAGCGAAAGCGUUAAGUGAUCCACCUGGGAAGUACGUCCGCAAGGAUGAAACUCAAAGGAAUUGACGGGGGCUCGCACAACCGGUGGAACACGUGGUUCAAUUCGAUGCUACGCGAGGAACCUUACCUGGGCUUAAAUGCAGAACGACCUCCCGGGAAACCGGGAUUCCCUUCGGGGCGGUUUGCAAGGUGCUGCACGGCUGUCGUCAGCUCGUGCCAUGAGGUGUCGGGUUAAGUCCCUUAACGAGCGCAACCCCUAUUGUUAGUUGCCAACAGGUAAUGCUGGGGACUCUAGCAAAACUGCCAGUGUAAGCUGGAGGAAGGUGGGGAUGACGUCAAGUCAGCAUGGCCCUUAUGUCCAGGGCUACACACGUGUUACAAUGGCCGGCACAAAGGGCAGCUACCACGCGAGUGGAUGCUAAUCUCUAAAUCCGGUCUUAGUUCGGAUCGGAGUCUGCAAUUCGACUUCGUGAAGGUGGAAUCGGUAGUAAUCGCGCAUCAGCAACGGCGCGGUGAAUGCGUUCCCGAGCCUUGUACACACUGCCCGUCAAGCCAUGGGAGUUGGGGGUACCUGAAGUUCGUAACCGUAAGGA